This 416-nucleotide ribosomal RNA is filed under the name uncultured bacterium. Its description in RNAcentral is "partial 16S ribosomal RNA". It matches the Rfam family "Bacterial small subunit ribosomal RNA", at positions 355 to 762 of the family's 1533-position model. The record is from RNAcentral.
UGGGGAAUUUUGGACAAUGGGCGAAGCCUGAUCCAGCCAUGCCGCGUGCAGGAUGAAGGCCUUCGGGUUGUAAACUGCUUUUGUACGGAACNAAAAGCCUCUUUCUAAUAAAGAGAGGUCAUGACGGUACCGUAAGAAUAAGCACCGGCUAACUACGUGCCAGCAGCCGCGGUAAUACGUAGGGUGCAAGCGUUAAUCGGAAUUACUGGGCGUAAAGCGUGCGCAGGCGGUUUUGUAAGACAGAGGUGAAAUCCCCGGGCUCAACCUGGGAACUGCCUUUUGUGACUGCAAGGCUGGAGUGCGGCAGAGGGGGAUGGAAUUCCGCGUGUAGCAGUGAAAUGCGUAGAUAUGCGGAGGAACACCGAUGGCGAAGGCAAUCCCCUGGGCCUGCACUGGACGCUCAUGCACGAAAGCGU